ACUACGGGUGGCAGCAGUGAGGAAUAUUGGUCAAUGGGCGGAAGCCUGAACCAGUCAAGUAGCGUGCAGGAUGACGGCCCUACGGGUUGUAAACUGCUUUUAUACGGGAAUAACGCGCCUUACGUGUAGGGCUUUGCAUGUACCGUAUGAAUAAGGACCGGCUAAUUCCGUGCCAGCAGCCGCGGUAAUACGGAAGGUCCGGGCGUUAUCCGGAUUUAUUGGGUUUAAAGGGAGCGUAGGCCGCAUGUCAAGCGUGCUGUGAAAUGUCCGGGCUCAACCCGGGCCUUGCAGCGCGAACUGGCGUGCUUGAGUCCGCGGAAAGCAGGCGGAAUUCGUCGUGUAGCGGUGAAAUGCUUAGAUAUGACGAAGAACCCCGAUUGCGAAGGCAGCUUGCUGCAGCGGAACUGACGCUGAUGCUCGAAAGCGCGGGUAUCGAACAGGAUUAGAUACCCGAGUAGUC
Molecule: ribosomal RNA, 460 nt
Filed under: uncultured bacterium
Lineage: Bacteria
Description: partial 16S ribosomal RNA
Rfam family: Bacterial small subunit ribosomal RNA
Source: RNAcentral